Molecule: ribosomal RNA, 253 nt
Filed under: uncultured bacterium
Lineage: Bacteria
Description: partial 16S ribosomal RNA
Rfam family: Bacterial small subunit ribosomal RNA
Source: RNAcentral
UACGUAGGGCGCAAGCGUUAUCCGGAAUUAUUGGGCGUAAAGAGCUCGUAGGCGGCUUGUCGCGUCGGAUGUGAAAGCCCGGGGCUUAACCCCGGGUCUGCAUUCGAUACGGGCAGGCUAGAGUUCGGUAGGGGAGAUCGGAAUUCCUGGUGUAGCGGUGAAAUGCGCAGAUAUCAGGAGGAACACCAGUGGCGAAGGCGGUUGCCUGGAGCUUUGCUGACGCUGAGGCGCGAAAGCGUGGGGAGCGAUCCGG